Molecule: ribosomal RNA, 1536 nt
Filed under: Klebsiella pneumoniae
Lineage: Bacteria; Pseudomonadati; Pseudomonadota; Gammaproteobacteria; Enterobacterales; Enterobacteriaceae
Description: bacterial SSU rRNA
Rfam family: Bacterial small subunit ribosomal RNA
Source: RNAcentral
UUGAAGAGUUUGAUCAUGGCUCAGAUUGAACGCUGGCGGCAGGCCUAACACAUGCAAGUCGAGCGGUAGCACAGAGAGCUUGCUCUCGGGUGACGAGCGGCGGACGGGUGAGUAAUGUCUGGGAAACUGCCUGAUGGAGGGGGAUAACUACUGGAAACGGUAGCUAAUACCGCAUAACGUCGCAAGACCAAAGUGGGGGACCUUCGGGCCUCAUGCCAUCAGAUGUGCCCAGAUGGGAUUAGCUAGUAGGUGGGGUAACGGCUCACCUAGGCGACGAUCCCUAGCUGGUCUGAGAGGAUGGCCAGCCACACUGGAACUGAGACACGGUCCAGACUCCUACGGGAGGCAGCAGUGGGGAAUAUUGCACAAUGGGCGCAAGCCUGAUGCAGCCAUGCCGCGUGUGUGAAGAAGGCCUUCGGGUUGUAAAGCACUUUCAGCGGGGAGGAAGGCGUUAAGGUUAAUAACCUUGGCGAUUGACGUUACCCGCAGAAGAAGCACCGGCUAACUCCGUGCCAGCAGCCGCGGUAAUACGGAGGGUGCAAGCGUUAAUCGGAAUUACUGGGCGUAAAGCGCACGCAGGCGGUCUGUCAAGUCGGAUGUGAAAUCCCCGGGCUCAACCUGGGAACUGCAUUCGAAACUGGCAGGCUAGAGUCUUGUAGAGGGGGGUAGAAUUCCAGGUGUAGCGGUGAAAUGCGUAGAGAUCUGGAGGAAUACCGGUGGCGAAGGCGGCCCCCUGGACAAAGACUGACGCUCAGGUGCGAAAGCGUGGGGAGCAAACAGGAUUAGAUACCCUGGUAGUCCACGCCGUAAACGAUGUCGAUUUGGAGGUUGUGCCCUUGAGGCGUGGCUUCCGGAGCUAACGCGUUAAAUCGACCGCCUGGGGAGUACGGCCGCAAGGUUAAAACUCAAAUGAAUUGACGGGGGCCCGCACAAGCGGUGGAGCAUGUGGUUUAAUUCGAUGCAACGCGAAGAACCUUACCUGGUCUUGACAUCCACAGAACUUAGCAGAGAUGCUUUGGUGCCUUCGGGAACUGUGAGACAGGUGCUGCAUGGCUGUCGUCAGCUCGUGUUGUGAAAUGUUGGGUUAAGUCCCGCAACGAGCGCAACCCUUAUCCUUUGUUGCCAGCGGUUAGGCCGGGAACUCAAAGGAGACUGCCAGUGAUAAACUGGAGGAAGGUGGGGAUGACGUCAAGUCAUCAUGGCCCUUACGACCAGGGCUACACACGUGCUACAAUGGCAUAUACAAAGAGAAGCGACCUCGCGAGAGCAAGCGGACCUCAUAAAGUAUGUCGUAGUCCGGAUUGGAGUCUGCAACUCGACUCCAUGAAGUCGGAAUCGCUAGUAAUCGUAGAUCAGAAUGCUACGGUGAAUACGUUCCCGGGCCUUGUACACACCGCCCGUCACACCAUGGGAGUGGGUUGCAAAAGAAGUAGGUAGCUUAACCUUCGGGAGGGCGCUUACCACUUUGUGAUUCAUGACUGGGGUGAAGUCGUAACAAGGUAACCGUAGGGGAACCUGCGGUUGGAUCACCUCCUU